GACGAACGCUGGCGGCGUGCCUAACACAUGCAAGUCGGACGGGGUGAUUCUUUCGGGGAUCACUUAGUGGCGAACGGGUGAGUAACGCGUGAGGAACCUGCCUUUCAGUGGGGGACAACAGUUGGAAACGACUGCUAAUACCGCAUAAUGUGUUUGAGUGGCAUCACUUAAAUACCAAAGCUUUAUGUGCUGAAAGAUGGCCUCGCGUCUGAUUAGCUAGUUGGUGGGGUAACGGCCCACCAAGGCGACGAUCAGUAGCCGGUCUGAGAGGAUGAACGGCCACAUUGGGACUGAGAUACGGCCCAG
RNAcentral lists this ribosomal RNA (306 nucleotides) under uncultured bacterium. RNAcentral's name for it is "bacterial SSU rRNA". It matches the Rfam family "Bacterial small subunit ribosomal RNA", at positions 28 to 334 of the family's 1533-position model. The record is from RNAcentral.